AGCGGCGGACGGGUGAGUAACGCGUGGGUAACCUGCCUCAUACAGGGGGAUAACAGUUAGAAAUGACUGCUAAUACCGCAUAAGACCACAGUACUGCAUGGUACAGUGGUAAAAACUCCGGUGGUAUGAGAUGGACCCGCGUCUGAUUAGCUGGUUGGUGGGGUAACGGCCCACCAAGGCGACGAUCAGUAGCCGGCCUGAGAGGGUGAACGGCCACAUUGGGACUGAGACACGGCCCAAACUCCUACGGAAGGCAGCAG
This 260-nucleotide ribosomal RNA is filed under the name uncultured bacterium. RNAcentral describes it as "partial 16S ribosomal RNA". It matches the Rfam family "Bacterial small subunit ribosomal RNA", at positions 94 to 354 of the family's 1533-position model. The record is from RNAcentral.